Long non-coding RNA from Oncorhynchus tshawytscha (Chinook salmon), 584 nucleotides. NCBI's taxonomy places the organism in Eukaryota, Metazoa, Chordata, Actinopteri, Salmoniformes, Salmonidae. The record is from Ensembl.
UUACUUUACAAGCCCUUAACCAACAAUGCAGGCUUAAGAAAAAGUGUUAAUUAAGAAAGUAUUUACUAAAAGAAACUGAAGUAAAAAAUAUUAAAAUUAAAUAAAAAACAGAGAGUAGUGGCAGUGUAAAAAUGGGGGGUGGGGACCAUAAAAAUAGUCCGGGUAGUCAUUUGAUUAUCUGCUCAGCAGUCUUAUGGCUUUGGGGUAGAAGCUGCUAAGUAGUCCUUAUGUCAACAUCCACAGGUUGAUCUCUGUUAAGUAGCCCUUAUGUCAACAUCCACAGGUUGAUCUCUGUUAAGUAGCCCUUAUGUCAACAUCCACAGGUUGAUCUCUGUUAAGUAGUCCUUAUGUCAACCUCCACAGGUUGAUCUCUGUUAAGUAGUCCUUAUGUCAACCUCCACAGGUUGAUCUCUGUUAAGUAGUCCUUAUGUCAACAUCUGCAGGUUGAUCUUUGUUAAGUAGCCCUUAUGUCAACUGCCACAAGUUGAUCUCUGUUAAGUAGUCCUUAUCUCAACAUCUGCAGGUUGAUCUUUGUUAAGUAGCCCUUAUGUCAACUGCCACAAGUUGAUCUCUGUUAAGUAGUC